UGGUCUAAAUGUCUUCUCAGCAGGGC
This 26-nucleotide non-coding RNA is filed under the name Mus musculus (house mouse). Lineage: Eukaryota; Metazoa; Chordata; Mammalia; Rodentia; Muridae. The record is from RNAcentral.